UACGGAGGGUGCAAGCGUUAUCCGGAUUUACUGGGGUUAAAGGGUGUGUAGGCGGGCCAUUAAGUCAGGGGUGAAAUCCCGGAGCUCAACUCCGGAACUGCCUUUGAUACUAUUGGUCUUGAAUGUUGUUGAGGUGGGCGGAACGGGUCAUGUAGCGGUGAAAUGCAUAGAUAUGACCCGGAACACCGAUUGCGAAGGCAGCCCGCUAAGCAACUAUUGACGCUGAGGCACGAAAGCGUGGGGAUCAAACAGG
RNAcentral lists this ribosomal RNA (253 nucleotides) under uncultured bacterium. Its description in RNAcentral is "partial 16S ribosomal RNA". It matches the Rfam family "Bacterial small subunit ribosomal RNA", at positions 524 to 776 of the family's 1533-position model. The record is from RNAcentral.